UUGCCGGCGACCGGCGCACGGGUGAGUAACACGUAUGCAACCUGCCCUCUUCAGGGGGACAACCUUCCGAAAGGGAGGCUAAUCCCGCGUAUAUCGGUUUCGGGCAUCCGAGAUCGAGGAAAGAUUCAUCGGAAGAGGAUGGGCAUGCGGCGCAUUAGCUAGACGGCGGGGUAACGGCCCACCGUGGCGACGAUGCGUAGGGGUUCUGAGAGGAAGGUCCCCCACACUGGUACUGAGACACGGACCAGACUCCUACGGAAGGCAGCAG
Molecule: ribosomal RNA, 268 nt
Filed under: uncultured bacterium
Lineage: Bacteria
Description: partial 16S ribosomal RNA
Rfam family: Bacterial small subunit ribosomal RNA
Source: RNAcentral